Long non-coding RNA from Lucilia cuprina (Australian sheep blowfly), 1412 nucleotides. RefSeq lists it as uncharacterized. NCBI's taxonomy places the organism in Eukaryota, Metazoa, Arthropoda, Insecta, Diptera, Calliphoridae. The transcript has 3 exons. The record is from RefSeq and is a predicted model, not a curated record.
CUUCUGGAGUGACAGCAUCAAAUGCUCGGGUAAUAAAGUUAUAAUUUUAAAUCUUAAAAAUUUCCUUAAAUCGCCGUGGAGCUUUAUGAAUUUUGUUUAAAAUUAUCCUUCUCAGGAUCUAAUCCAUGGUAAAUUUUUGACCAAUAUCGAGGAUCACCAGAAACCCAUUUUAGCCACACCUCGUGGACAGUUGCACACAAUCGCCAUACCUGUGGCAUUGAUGGAGUAAACCAUCCUUAUUAAGACCUCCAUAGUUCUCGAAAUUUUAGAGAGAAGCUCUUGGAACCGUUUUAACGCAACCCGUAAGGCACGUUUCCAAGAAUCCUUCUCUGUAAGAAGAGUUUGUUUGGGGUAUAAAAACAUUCUAUGAAUGAUCCCACCCAAAUUGCCAAAUUUUUUUGCUGAAAUUGUCAAUAUUUCUACAAUGGAUGUGUAGAACAACGAUUGAGCCUAGUAGAAGUAAAUUUAAAGCCAACACCUGACCAAGACUGUGCCUAGCAGAAGAUUACGCCACUACCUGUUAAAAUUUCUUUUAGAGGAUCAUUAUUGCAAGCCACCCCAGAGAAUUUCACGUGUUUAAAGAUAUCGUCUCCUCCAGCAAUUACGAAAAAAGUGUUUAAAACAGCCAAACCCAACGACCAUCAAAUUGUGUUCAAAUAUAAUAUAGUGUGAUGAAGAUUAUUAUAAGCCAUCAAUCGUUUAGUCCAUGAUGGACCGGUGGCAUCAGUAAUGUUUAAAUAUUAUCUAGUUUAAAAUAAAUAGCAACAAUCAAUGUGCAAAAAGCUACAAAAACAAAACCUUUAUUUACAUCAAACACCAACAAGUUCAACACAAGUAUAGAAAACACAAACAAAAAAUAAGUAAAACAACAACAUCUAAGUAUCAAUAAUUAUAAUGAAUUUUUAAAAUAUAGAAUAGUUAAAAGUGGUUAAAAUAGUAUUAAAAGAAAAAGUCAAGGAAAGAGAAAUACAAAAUAAGAAAAUAAAGAGCUAGAAAGUGAAAUGUAAAGUUAAAAAGAAAAAAAUCAAUAGAAAAGACAGUGAAGUAUAGUUAAAGAAUCUGAGCAAAACAAAGUAAAUGACAUUGUGAUUUAAAGGAAUAAAAAUGGGAAAACAACAAAAGAUUAAUAAAUAAGAAAAUACAGAAAACAAAGAAAACAAAGAAAAAAAUUUUUGAUAUAAAAAUGGAAAAAGAAGUCCCGAGAUAGUGAUGGAAAAUGAAAAGAGAAAGAAGUGAUAACUAAGAACUAAAGAAAAAGAACGGAGAAAAAAGAAGAUUAGAAUAGAAUAAGUAAAAUUAUAAGUUACAAAUUAGGUAUGCAUGUUAUAUUAAUUUAAAUUACAUAUAAGAAAAGGUGAAUGAAAUCAAUUAUUAAAAAAAAUAAAAAUUAACUUAAGAUUAGUUUAUGUGUA